AUCAGCUCAUUUAUUAUCCGGACAAUAUCGUUUGUACUUUAGGAGGGGACAUGUCCUGAAAUUAUCGAUCCAAGAUUGAGUUCCGGUGAAAAGUUAAUACAAGAUGGAAAAGAGGCCAUCGGAUCUGAACAUUUAUUUGAAGCUAAUAAGAAAGAAGAAAACAAAGAUAUAAUGUCACCGCAUACACUCCAUGCCCAAUCCAAUCGAAGAACAGUCCUCGCAUGCAAGGUGAUCUUAUUCUAAUUCUUCGGAGCUGUUUUAUCAACUUAUUAGUAGGUGUCCAGACAUCAUCAUGCAGGCCUUCACUUCGAGAGGGGAUAGACUCGGGAAAUUCAAGAUUGAUGGUUCCGGUGGACAGUCAAUAAAACAGACGAAAUUUCGGCCAUUUUGCUUCAGACUUCAUCAAAGUCCAGAUUUACUUCUCAUGUUGCUAACAGAAAGGAACUACGAACUGGCCAGCAGGUGUUUAGCUACCUACGAUCAAAGAUGAACACCUUUAUUAUAGUGGCUGCCUUUCUAAUGCCAGGCCUCCUGGUGGCGCCAUCAAUAGUCUGGUUCACUAGUUCCGAGUACGUGAACUGUCCGGGAGAUCGGUGGGAAGAGACAGGGGAUAUUGAGAUCAGUGGUCCGCAGGAUGGUGGUCUGGACAGAGGGGAGCCACUAAUAAACUGGUUUGACAGAGCUUGGGAAACCUUACGAGGUGCAUGGGACAGAAACAAUCCACUCUGCGCCACAAUAAAGGGCGCCGCCACAGGAGGGAUUCAAGUUCUUCCCAUUUUCAACUUGCAAUAACUUUGAUUGGCUUUUGAUUGGGCUCUUGUAAUGUAAAAUCUGUGUAGCAAUACUGUUCAGAAAUCAUAUAUCUUGUCACUUGUGUCUGUCGUUUUAUGUAUGUACAGGUUUGUGAUAUUUUCAAAAUAAUCAUAUCAUGCUGUGCAAGUGCGCGUUAAAGUUCCCUUUUAGAAAGGAUAUACCUCUUAAAAAUUUUUAUGAUGUCAUAUCUAGGUUUAUUUGUGUAAGUUCAUGCAAAAGCUGCAGUCACAAGUUUUCAUUGCACUUCGAAACCACAAGACAGGUCAUGAAUGUAAUGUAUGCCUGCAAUGUAUGUUGACACUUUCAUAAACUCAAUUAAAAUGAAUU
Molecule: long non-coding RNA, 1140 nt
Filed under: Lytechinus variegatus (green sea urchin)
Lineage: Eukaryota; Metazoa; Echinodermata; Echinoidea; Temnopleuroida; Toxopneustidae
Description: uncharacterized LOC121421721
Source: RNAcentral